GACGAACGCUGGCGGCGUGCUUAACACAUGCAAGUCGAACGGAAAGGCCCUGCUUGCAGGGUACUCGAGUGGCGAACGGGUGAGUAACACGUGGGUGAUCUGCCCUGCACUUCGGGAUAAGCCUGGGAAACUGGGUCUAAUACCGGAUAGGAGCCAUUUUUAGUGUGAUGGUUGGAAAGUUCUUUCGGUGUAGGAUGAGCUCGCGGCCUAUCAGCUUGUUGGUGGGGUAAUGGCCUACCAAGGCGGCGACGGGUAGCCGGCCUGGGAGGGUGGACGGCCACAUUGGGACUGGGAUACGGCCCAGACUCCUACGGGGGGCAGCAGUGGGGAAUAUUGCACAAUGGGCGCAAGCCUGAUGCAGCGACGCCGCGUGGGGGAUGACGGCCUUCGGGUUGUAAACUCCUUUCGCUAGGGACGAAGCUUUUUGUGACGGUACCUAGAGAAGAAGCACCGGCUAACUACGUG
Molecule: ribosomal RNA, 465 nt
Filed under: uncultured bacterium
Lineage: Bacteria
Description: partial 16S ribosomal RNA
Rfam family: Bacterial small subunit ribosomal RNA
Source: RNAcentral